Molecule: ribosomal RNA, 519 nt
Filed under: uncultured eukaryote
Lineage: Eukaryota
Description: SSU rRNA
Rfam family: Eukaryotic small subunit ribosomal RNA
Source: RNAcentral
AGGGCACCACCAGGAGUGGAGCCUGCGGCUUAAUUUGACUCAACACGGGGAAACUCACCCGGCCCGGACACUGUAAGGAUGGACAGAUUAAAAGCUCUUUCUUGAUUCAGUGGGUGGUGGUGCAUGGCCGUUCUUAGUUGGUGGAGUGAUUUGUCUGGUUAAUUCCGAUAACGAACGAGACUCUGACCUGCUAAAUAGUACGUUGGUAUUGGCACUCAGCAAUGGGUGUUCUCGCUGACGCUGACUUCUUAGAGGGAUUCGCAGUAUUCAAACUGCACGAAAUAGAGCAAUAACAGGUCUGUGAUGCCCUUAGAUGUCCGGGGCCGCACGCGCGCUACAAUGACAGCUUCAGAGAGUUUUGCAACCUGGUCCGAAAGGAUUGGGAAAUCUUGGCAUAGCUGUCUCCUCAGGGAUUGGGGUUUGUAACUGUCCCCCAUGAACGAGGAAUUCCCAGUAGGCGCAAGUCAUCAGCUUGCGCCGAUCACGUCCCUGCCCUUUGUACACACCGCCCGUCGCUAC